UACGUAGGGGGCAAGCGUUGUCCGGAUUUAUUGGGCGUAAAGAGCUCGUAGGCGGCUCGGUAAGUCGGAUGUGAAACCUCCAGGCUCAACCUGGAGACGCCAUCUGAUACUGCCGUGGCUUGAGUCCGGUAGAGGAGCAGGGAAUUCCUGGUGUAGCGGUGAAAUGCGCAGAUAUCAGGAGGAACACCAGCGGCGAAGGCGCUGCUCUGGGCCGGUACUGACGCUGAGGAGCGAAAGCGUGGUGAGCGAGCAGG
RNAcentral lists this ribosomal RNA (254 nucleotides) under uncultured bacterium. RNAcentral describes it as "partial 16S ribosomal RNA". It matches the Rfam family "Bacterial small subunit ribosomal RNA", at positions 524 to 776 of the family's 1533-position model. The record is from RNAcentral.